This 1930-nucleotide long non-coding RNA is filed under the name Theobroma cacao (cacao). Its description in RNAcentral is "long non-coding RNA (TCAC_LNC005809)". Lineage: Eukaryota; Viridiplantae; Streptophyta; Magnoliopsida; Malvales; Malvaceae. The record is from RNAcentral.
AAACCAGAAGAGAAGAGAAACCAAGGAAGAACAAACCUUAGGUGGGAAAAAUCAAAGAGAAAGUGUUGGAAUUCAAGGAUUUGAUCAAGCAAAGGUAAAAUUUCUUUGAUUUUGCUAGUGAUUUACCUUACCCAUGCAUUUUUCCUUAAUUUCCAUGGUUUAAAAACAUGCUUUCAUGGUGAAUUCAUGGCUGGUCAAAAUGGGUAUGGAGAGAGAAUGAUAUUGGAUUUGUUUGAUUUUUAGGUAUGUUAGUGUUUUUAGGUGAUUAAUGAUGUGUAGCAUGAAAACAAGUGAAGAAAACCACCAAAGGUUUGGUGUCCAUCAAUAGCCGAAUUCUCUAAGUGAAUAAUGAGGAAGAAUUGGAUGUUAUUCUAGGUGAUUUGAUUAAGAAAUAAUAGUUUUUGGUGUAGGAAUUAAUGAAUUAUGGAGAGAAAAUUAAGUAGGAAAAAUCACGGAGUUAGUGUGCCAUUGUUGGUCGAAAGUUUCAAGAAGAAAAGUGAAGAUAAAUUUUGCCUAAUUGUGUGUUAAUUAGUUUGUGUUUGGUGAAUUGAGGGAUUGGAAAAGAAAUGAAGCAAGUUGGAGUGAAAUUGGACGCAUUGGCAAAUUUAUCGGAUAAAAAAUCGACUUAGACCAAUACUGGGUCUAGAUGGCUACCCGUGCAUUUUUCAUUUCAUAUCACACAUAUAUAUCGAGCUUGAAAUAGCUUAUGACUAUUAGACACAAUUUAAUUGGAAUAUGUGUCAUGGAUUAUGGCUAGGUGGUGAGCCAUUGGAUACGGGUAAAGGACUGUACUCGCAGACUAAAAAUAGGAGUAUUUCUACUCCUAAUACUGUAAGUGGACAAUCUAUCAUCUUAAAUAUCUAGAGUAAUUAUACUUGUUUGAUGCUUUUAUUGAAUGGUGAGUUUAAAUUAUAAAAUAUUAUAUUUUCUAAUUAAAAUAUUUUUUUUUAUAAAAAUGAUAUUUAUACUGGUUUUGAAAUCAAAUAUUGUUUUGGGAAAAUUGAGUAUAUGGAGACUAUGUUGAAUUUAUGAUUUUAUAUGUUAUUGAAAUUAUGGCUUAUGACACUAUGGUAGCAUGAUGGCUAAAUUUUUAGGGUUGACAUGAAAUAUAUGAACAGUUUUGGAUUGGUCCCGAUAGACUGGAUUAAAUUUUAUUCGCCAUAUUAUGCUACUGAAAAUUUUAUGGGUUUGGUGGUAUAUUAAACGGUCACUGCAGUGGUGGGGGUUUCCAUGGAUUGCCUAUGAGAGGGGCACGGUAACCCAAUUAUAUAUUUACCUCCAGGGGGAUGUUGGAUGAAGUAUCUCCUGAGGUAAGAUUUGAGUGCACCUCACGUUCGGGCUACCACGUGAGAGUGAGACCCAGCUAACGCCAAGGAACGGCUGUGUGUCAGAUGCAAAAACAUGUUUAUGGGUAUGAGACAUUUAACAGCCUUGGCGGUCUCAGUGGGAUACCUUGACGAAGGUACCCGCGAGAAUGAUUCUGGCAGUGGCCAAGUUUAAGAAAUUCAUAAGCCGGGAAAUUUUGAUGAAAAGAAAUUGUUUGGUAUAGAUUGAAACGAAUUUUGCGUUAUGAACAUUAUUGAGAUAUAACGUUUUUAUUUUGUCUCCAUCUACUCGGCUUUAGAUGCUUUUGAUGGUAAUUGUUUACUCACUGAGAUUAUGUAAUCUCACCCCUCUUCCUAUUCAUUUUUCAGGCUCAGGACAGUUUGUUGAUAAGUGAUUAAGACGAGAAUUAAUCUCGGAGUUGCAUCUUAGAAAGUAAGAGUUCGUAGCCCUACACCUUCUUGGACAAUUAGGGGCCCACGUAUCACUGUAAAUGAAAUUUCAUACUUUAAUUAUCUUUAUUACUAUAUGAAUAAAUUUAUUUUACUCUUACGCUACAAAAGUUAUUUUAGGAAGACUUUGAAAAUUUUGUAUUUUAAGAAAAUAG